This 4446-nucleotide long non-coding RNA is filed under the name Homo sapiens (human). RNAcentral describes it as "HSALNT0362069". Lineage: Eukaryota; Metazoa; Chordata; Mammalia; Primates; Hominidae. The record is from RNAcentral.
GGAAAAAUAAAAGAGAAAAACAUGGCAGAUGGAACCCUUCACCCAUCCUCCUUUUUCCUUUUUCUAACCUUUGUCUAACGUCAGAGCUGCCAGCAGUCCCUGUAUAAGCAUGGGUAAAAGAGUAAAGAAUCAUCACUCCUGAUACUGGUGAGCCACUGAACCAACACCGGCCACUGACUACCUCCAGAUUUCUUUUUAUAACUGCCAUUCUUUGAGCUGGAAAAUUGCCUUUUACUUGGGGCAUACAAUAUGUAAUGAUCACAUCAGGGUAAUUGGGGUAUCCAUCACCUCAAGGAUUGAUCAUUUCAUUAGUUGGAAACUAUGCAAACUGUUGGAAAAAACUGGAAUUGACUGGCUGUGUUUGGUUUGGACAACUCAUCGAAAUGAGAGGGAGCCCAGCACGAGUUCUGCUUGAGUGAUGUCUGAAAAUCUGGCCUCUCAGUCUACCUUAAAAGCCUACCUAUUUGGCUUUCACUAGAGUUCAGAUACAUAAAACAAAUAUCUUUGCUUUGGCUUCCCUUGAGUCAUAUCAAUCUACACCUCAUCAAGAAUAUGAAGUUUGGAAGAACAAAGAAGCAAUUGAGCAUCCUAAACUCAACGUAGGGCAAGUAACAUGGACAUUGAUACACCAAGUUCCUUCUUGUUUUUCCUUGAAAGUUGGCUUGAUGAAUGUAUUCUGCAGGGAUUUUAAAGGUGUGGAAAUGAAGCAGACAUCAAGGACUGCUGCAGUUUACUGGGGGUCCACUCCAGACCUUAGUUGCUUCAGUUUUUCCCUGUACCUGGAGGUAUCGUCAGUGAAGCCUGCAAAACAGCAAAGAUGGCAGCCUGCUCCUUCCUCUGGAAGCUCCAUCCCAGGGAUGCACUGACCUGUUGCCAGAAGGAACAUGCCUGUAGGAGGUGGCUGGAGACCCCUGCUGGGAGGUCCCACCCACUCGGGAGGAAUGGGAUCAGGGACCCACCCCAAGAAGCCCUCUGGCUGCCCUUUGGUAGAGUAGGUGCCAGGAGACCCUUCCUUGCCUGGACCAUUUGUAUUUUCCAAAGUUGGCAGGCUGGAAUGGCUGAGUUUACCAAACUGCAGAGAUGACAGCUGCUCUUCCCCUGUGAGCUUCAUUCCAGGGAGAGAUCAGAACUUUGUCUGUAGAACCCUUGCUUGUGUGGCUGAAGCCCCUGCAGGGAGGACUUGCCCAGUGAAGAGGAAUAGAUUGAGGUACCGCUUAAAGAAGCAGUCUGGCCAUGAUCUGGCAAGGCAGCUGUGCUGUGCUGCAGGGAACCUCUCCUUGCUCGAACUUCUUGUAUUCUUCAAAGCUAGCAGGCUGAAACCAAUAAAUUUAAAUUUAAAUAGGUAAAAAUAAGUAAAUAAAGAUAAAGAAAAAUAAAUUGACUGAUUUAUUCUGCCUUCAGGAGCUCUUAGAUGAUGUAGGAAAACAAAUAAUACUGUACAAUCAAAGUCGAAAUUCCUUAAGCAGAGGGUCUUAUGAGAACACAAAGGGAAGGCAACUGGAGCUUUACAGAUGACUUCCUAGACUAGAGAUACCUGAUGUGGGUCUUUAGGGUUAAGUCAUUAAUAGCAAGGCCAAGUAGAGGAAGAGCAUAUCCUACAGAGAAAAAAAGAAUAAGCAAAGGCUGGCUGUUGAGAGAAUUGCAAGUGCUUAGUAUGACUAUAGCGGUAGUCUCAACAGGAGCAGGACAUCCUUAGGGGAUGUUUUGAAAAAUUUUUGUGGAAUUUUCUUGGUCCCAGUAAUUAGUAAGCACUAUUAGCCUUAAAAUGAUAAAGGGCCACUGAGCUAGAUGUUCUGCAAUGGGCAAGACAAUUGCACACAAUGAAAAAUUGUCCCAAGUUCAAGUUUGGACAAGUUAGGGAUGUCCCUCCAGGCAUUUUUGUCAAUGAAAAACCUCUUUGUAACUGUCUUGGCAUAGAGCCUAACUCCAUAUAUACAUAUAACACAAAAUAUUUUUGCACAGUUUUAAUAUACACUAAAUUUUCCAGGGACACAAUUACAUAAAUUAAGGAAAGAUCAUGCUUUGCUGUGUUUGGAACUUAUCAAGAGUCAUUCACCAUUCUAGAAAAUAGCAUCAAAGAUGCAAUAUAGCUCUUGGUGUCUGAGUUGCCAGUUCAGCCAUCUGUGUCAAUCUGUAUUUGUAGAUAUUGCAGUCAAGGUGAUAUUAUUUUUAAGCAAAAGUGUCUGACAACUUUAUUAAGUUCCCCAAUGUAGCUGUGCCAUAGCAUUUUAGAUUAUUUUAAAUUGUAUAUUACUUUCCUUUUAUUUUUCCUCUAAUGAUAGAUACUUAGGGCAUUUUUUUUAAAAACCCAAUGAGAAGACAGGUUAUUUUAUCUAUGAGUUUCAUUUCAGGAUAGUAAAAGUGUAUUACAAAAUGCUGGUUGUAACAACGGGGACAUUAGGUUGCAAAGGACAGAAUGGGCUGGUAUGUCAGUAGCAUCUCUUUCCCCAAAGACCUCAGUUGUGACAUGUGAAACUCUAAUUGCUAUGUGAUGUUUCCAGUUGUAAGGGCCUGAUUAUGGUUUAAUGCUUGCUGGAAAAAUAAAUGAGCAAAAUCAAGUUAGGAGACCACUUAUUUUUCCCUGCAUGAAACAUUUUAAUGUGACUUUACACUUAUAUUUCCCUGGCUAUUUUGGCAACAUAAAAGGCCCAGUCUAUAUCAAGGCCCAAGUGAAUAAAUUCAAGAGCUGUUUUUAUCUUAACUUUUCUAACUAGUCCUUUGGCACCAUUCAGAGACGGUAAUGAUAAUAGCAAUGAUAUUAAUGAACUAGCAUUUAGUAAGCACCUACUACAUGCUAAAGACUGGGCAAAGUAUUUUCCAUAGCAAAUCUCCUAGCCUUACAAUUAACAUGUAAAGGUAAACACUUUUAUCACUACUUUAUUUAUGAACAAAAGGAAUCAAGUGACACUCCUGAGGCCACAACAGCGUUAAGUGGUAGAGGAAGGAUCCAAGGCCAAAUGUACUUGGAUCCUCUUUCUAUGACACCAAACUUCGCGUAUGUAAAAAUAGUGUUCUUUUCUGGGUUUCUGUGAUUUCACACAUUCUAGGCAGGUAAGAUUUUAAAUGGACAAACUGCAGCACAUGGGUGAAAUCUGUUACCACUUGAAACUGUGGUAGAAAAAUAGCUAAGAAGCAUACAAUUUAGUAUUCAUUGGCUACUAUAUGGCAUCAUGACAAAAUGGCAAGAUCAUAGGCCUCUCCAUGAAUUAUAAUGAAAGCAGAUAAGAUAUGAACAUACUGAUGUUUGAUUGCUUCAAAUUUGGAAUUACUUGAAUAGAUGUUUUGGGUUUAACUCUGACAUCACCCAACAUUCAUUGAAACAUGGGGUGCGAUUAUGACGUAUUAAAGGAAGAAUUAGUACCUGAUCAUAUUGUCCUUGGGAAGAAAUUACUUUUAUUUCUAGUCUCUCUUUUUAAAAAAUAAAGGAAGGAGACAAGAUAUUGAAAUGUGCACUUCAAGAUAUUGAAGUGAGGGAUUUCCUUAUGGCAAAGACAAGUGACUUAUCCCAUUGUUGUCACUGUGGUAAAUGAAUACCUCUUAUCAAAAACACUUAGAAUAAAGAUUUUAAGUAAGUUAUGAAAAAAAUUGUUAGAGCUGAACAAGUUGCACUUUAAAUUUGCUUUACUAUACAGAAUUUAAGUACCUGUUGAGAUUUUACACUGAUUCAUAUUAUUUCCCUUCUCCCCACCCCCAUUCAUCUUUGUCAUCAUCACCACAACCCACAUGUGGAGAUUAUUGAGUAGACAAAUGGUUGACUUCAGAACCAGAGAAACUUAGAUUGACAUUCUGGGUCUGGAUGGGAGACCUGGAGCAAGCUUCUUUUCUUCCAUUUGCUGCAUUUUUUCUGGAAAGUGAGAAUAAUUCCAUGUGUAAGCAGAACUGUGCCUGGCACAUGGCAUGUGCUCAAUAAAUGGCAGCUAUCACUGAAUGUGGUAAAUACCAAGGAGAAGAAGGGGUAUAAGCCAUGGUCCCUGGGCUCAAACAACUUAAAAUUUAUUUGGGAUAAAAGGACUCAUACAUAAAAGAUAAAUGCUAAUAGAUCACAGACUACACUAAUUGCAUAAUGAAUCAGACAGACAAUAAAUACUGAAGGCGUUCCCACAGGCAGGAUCAGUCAGGCAGGGCUCCAUGGAGAAACAGGGUCUGGCAGUGGGACUCAAGCAUGGUCAGGAAAAGCAGAAAGGUGUUCCUAGCAACCGGGCUGGCACCCAGGGGCCAAACAGGCACAGCAGGCCAGCACCAAUACUUUUAGGCAUCCACAAACAUCUUUUGUUAUUUCUCUCACAGAAGAAAAACAAUGACACUAAUAAUAAUGAAUAUGUAGUAAUCAACCCAGCCUGUAUUAGAUUUGCCUUUAUACUAACACAGCUGUAAAGAAUAAUUUUUGUAUUUUUUUUAAUGGCAGAAGGGGCCCAUGAAGGCAGAUGUUUCUGGGGUCCGCCUAAG